GAAAUGCGAUAAGUAGUGUGAAUUGCAGAAUUCAGUGAAUCAUCGAAUCUUUGAACGCACAUUGCGCCCUUUGGUAUUCCAAAGGGCAUGCCUGUUCGAGCGUCAUUUGUACCCUCAAGCUUUGCUUGGUGUUGGGCGUCUUGUCUCCAGUUCGCUGGAGACUCGCCUUAAAGUAAUUGGCAGCCGGCCUACUGGUUUCGUAGCGCAGCACAAGUCGCGCUCUCUUCCAGCCAAGGUCAGCAUCCACAAAGCCUUUUUUCAACUUUUGACCUCGGAUCAGGUAGGGAUACCCGCUGAACUUAAGC
RNAcentral lists this unclassified non-coding RNA (305 nucleotides) under plant metagenome. RNAcentral's name for it is "partial contains 5.8S ribosomal RNA, internal transcribed spacer 2, and large subunit ribosomal RNA". The stretch from base 1 to 105 matches the Rfam family "5.8S ribosomal RNA", at positions 50 to 154 of the family's 154-position model. The record is from RNAcentral.